CAAAUAACCCCCAUGCUUUCUCCCUCUUCUAAAUGAUUCUCUUGAGUGGACUUGUCCCUGGAUAAAUUGAUUGGAUGUCCAUGUGGUAUUGGCCAGGGACCUAGUGUCUCACCAUAAAUUAGCAGCAGCCUUCAAGAAGGAGGUCAUUUCCUGUAGGAAUGAGCAAUCGUGUUUGGAAAAACCAGUCUCACAUUCUCCAUGCUGCUGUACAACCAAAUGCAAACUAAGCCUUUUAUUUAAAGAAACAUUCGACUAAGUGUCAGGUGAUGAUGCUUUUUCCACAUUUUGCAGCCAGAACCAGAAAUGUUGAAAUAUCACCAAAAUGUUCUCAUAUGAAGGUCAGUCAGGACUGUAAGUUCCAGAAAUCUUAAGAAAACAGUCACCCCUUAUGAAAUUGUUUUAUUCUGUUGUGCUUGCCAUAAUUCCAAUAAGCCCUUUCCAAAUCUAGGUACUGCUUUGAACUAAACUUAAAAUUAAGCCCUUUGCAUUUGUUAAUUCCAACUGGGGAAUCAAUAUUCUUUAGUCAUUUAAGGCUCUGAAAGAUUUCUAUGACAAUUG
RNAcentral lists this long non-coding RNA (558 nucleotides) under Bos taurus (domestic cattle). Its description in RNAcentral is "long non-coding RNA NONBTAT025334". The record is from RNAcentral. Lineage: Eukaryota; Metazoa; Chordata; Mammalia; Artiodactyla; Bovidae.